UACAGAGGUGGCAAGCGUUGUUCGGAUUUACUGGGCGUAAAGCGCACGUAGGCGGAUCGAUCAGUCAGGGGUGAAAUCCCAGAGCUCAACUCUGGAACUGCCUUUGAUACUGUCGAUCUGGAGUAUGGAAGAGGUGAGUGGAAUUCCGAGUGUAGAGGUGAAAUUCGUAGAUAUUCGGAAGAACACCAGUGGCGAAGGCGGCUCACUGGCCCGGUACUGACGCUCAUGUGCGAAAGCGUGGGGAGCAAACAGG
This 253-nucleotide ribosomal RNA is filed under the name uncultured bacterium. RNAcentral describes it as "partial 16S ribosomal RNA". It matches the Rfam family "Bacterial small subunit ribosomal RNA", at positions 524 to 776 of the family's 1533-position model. The record is from RNAcentral.